GGGGUAAUAGCUCAGUGGUAGAGCACAUACUUAGCAUGCACAAGGUCCUGGAUUCUAUUCCCAGUACCUCCA
Molecule: transfer RNA, 72 nt
Filed under: Camelus bactrianus (Bactrian camel)
Lineage: Eukaryota; Metazoa; Chordata; Mammalia; Artiodactyla; Camelidae
Also listed under: 3 other names
Rfam family: tRNA
About the family: Transfer RNA (tRNA) molecules are approximately 80 nucleotides in length.
Source: Rfam by way of RNAcentral